ACGCUGGCGGCAGGCCUAACACAUGCAAGUCGAACGGUAACAGGAAGCAGCUUGCUGCUUCGCUGACGAGUGGCGGACGGGUGAGUAAUGUCUGGGAAACUGCCUGAUGGAGGGGGAUAACUACUGGAAACGGUGGCUAAUACCGCAUAACGUCGCAAGACCAAAGAGGGGGACCUUCGGGCCUCUUGCCAUCAGAUGUGCCCAGAUGGGAUUAGCUUGUUGGUGAGGUAACGGCUCACCAAGGCGACGAUCCCUAGCUGGUCUGAGAGGAUGACCAGCCACACUGGAACUGAGACACGGUCCAGACUCCUACGGGAGGCAGCAGUGGGGAAUAUUGCACAAUGGGCGCAAGCCUGAUGCAGCCAUGCCGCGUGUAUGAAGAAGGCCUUCGGGUUGUAAAGUACUUUCAGCGGGGAGGAAGGUGUUGUGGUUAAUAACCGCAGCAAUUGACGUUACCCGCAGAAGAAGCACCGGCUAACUCCGUGCCAGCAGCCGCGGUAAUACGGAGGGUGCAAGCGUUAAUCGGAAUUACUGGGCGUAAAGCGCACGCAGGCGGUCUGUCAAGUCGGAUGUGAAAUCCCCGGGCUCAACCUGGGAACUGCAUUCGAAACUGGCAGGCUUGAGUCUUGUAGAGGGGGGUAGAAUUCCAGGUGUAGCGGUGAAAUGCGUAGAGAUCUGGAGGAAUACCGGUGGCGAAGGCGGCCCCCUGGACAAAGACUGACGCUCAGGUGCGAAAGCGUGGGGAGCAAACAGGAUUAGAUACCCUGGUAGUCCACGCCGUAAACGAUGUCUACUUGGAGGUUGUGCCCUUGAGGCGUGGCUUCCGGAGCUAACGCGUUAAGUAGACCGCCUGGGGAGUACGGCCGCAAGGUUAAAACUCAAAUGAAUUGACGGGGGCCCGCACAAGCGGUGGAGCAUGUGGUUUAAUUCGAUGCAACGCGAAGAACCUUACCUGGUCUUGACAUCCACAGAACUUUCCAGAGAUGGAUUGGUGCCUUCGGGAACUGUGAGACAGGUGCUGCAUGGCUGUCGUCAGCUCGUGUUGUGAAAUGUUGGGUUAAGUCCCGCAACGAGCGCAACCCUUAUCCUUUGUUGCCAGCGGUCCGGCCGGGAACUCAAAGGAGACUGCCAGUGAUAAACUGGAGGAAGGUGGGGAUGACGUCAAGUCAUCAUGGCCCUUACGACCAGGGCUACACACGUGCUACAAUGGCGCAUACAAAGAGAAGCGACCUCGCGAGAGCAAGCGGACCUCAUAAAGUGCGUCGUAGUCCGGAUUGGAGUCUGCAACUCGACUCCAUGAAGUCGGAAUCGCUAGUAAUCGUGGAUCAGAAUGCCACGGUGAAUACGUUCCCGGGCCUUGUACACACCGCCCGUCACACCAUGGGAGUGGGUUGCAAAAGAAGUAGGUAGCUUAACCUUCGGGAGGGCGCUUACCACUUUGUGAUUCAUGACUGGGGUGAAGUCGUAACAAGGUAACCGUAGGGGAACCUGC
This 1492-nucleotide ribosomal RNA is filed under the name Salmonella enterica subsp. enterica serovar Poona. Its description in RNAcentral is "bacterial SSU rRNA". It matches the Rfam family "Bacterial small subunit ribosomal RNA". The record is from RNAcentral. Lineage: Bacteria; Pseudomonadati; Pseudomonadota; Gammaproteobacteria; Enterobacterales; Enterobacteriaceae.